RNAcentral lists this ribosomal RNA (549 nucleotides) under uncultured Glomeromycotina. RNAcentral's name for it is "SSU rRNA". It matches the Rfam family "Eukaryotic small subunit ribosomal RNA", at positions 548 to 1099 of the family's 1831-position model. Lineage: Eukaryota; Fungi; Glomeromycota. The record is from RNAcentral.
UUGGAGGGCAAGUCUGGUGCCAGCAGCCGCGGUAAUUCCAGCUCCAAUAGCGUAUAUUAAAGUUGCUGCAGUUAAAAAGCUCGUAGUUGAAUUUCGGGACCAUCAUGUCGGUCGUGCCUCGGUACGUACUGGCAUUGUUGGUUUCUCCCUUCUGACGAACCAUGAUGUCAUUAAUUUGGUGUCUUGGGGAAUCAGGACUGUUACUUUGAAAAAAUUAGAGUGUUUAAAGCAGGCUCACGCUUGAAUACAUUAGCAUGGAAUAAUGAAAUAGGACGUUUGAUUCUAUUUUGUUGGUUUCUAGGAUCGACGUAAUGAUUAAUAGGGAUAGUUGGGGGCAUUAGUAUUCAAUUGUCAGAGGUGAAAUUCUUGGAUUUAUUGAAGACUAACUACUGCGAAAGCAUUUGCCAAGGAUGUUUUCAUUAAUCAAGAACGAAAGUUAGGGGAUCGAAGACGAUCAGAUACCGUCGUAGUCUUAACCAUAAACUAUGCCGACUAGGGAUCGGAUGAUGUUAAUUUUUUAAUGACUCAUUCGGCGCCUUACGGGAAACA